RNAcentral lists this long non-coding RNA (252 nucleotides) under Capsella grandiflora. RNAcentral's name for it is "long non-coding RNA (CGRA_LNC000059)". The record is from RNAcentral. Lineage: Eukaryota; Viridiplantae; Streptophyta; Magnoliopsida; Brassicales; Brassicaceae.
UUUUUUUUUUUAUUACUCAAGGUAAAUCCCCGGACCUAUGGAAGGAUCUGAGAUUAAUCCCUGGGGAGAGAGUAUCCCACGGGUAGGGUCCCCCCUCCAUUUUUUCAAAUGGGCCUUAAGCAAGAGUCCCAUACCCAUGUGGCCAAAGGGAUAAAGCUAGCAAUUCUGCGUCUGGGGAGAAUCGAUCCCUGACCUAGAUCAACAGGGCGACUCUUCCACCAGACUAGAACCACUAGCCCACCACCUCUGGUU